UGGGGGAUAUUGCGCAAUGGGCGAAAGCCUGACGCAGCGACGCCGCGUGGGUGAUGAAGGCCUUCGGGUCGUAAAGCCCUGUCGAGGGGGAAGAAUCGGUUGCGACCUAACACGUCGUGAUCCUGACGGUACCCCUAAAGGAAGCACCGGCUAAAUCCGUGCCAGCAGCCGCGGUAAUACGGAGGGUGCGAGCGUUGUUCGGAAUCACUGGGCGUAAAGCGCGUGUAGGCGGCCCACUAAGUCUGAUGUGAAAGCCCGGGGCUCACCCCCGGAAGUGCAUUGGAAACUGGUGGACUCGAGUCCCGGAGAGGAGAGUGGAAUUCCUGGUGUAGCGGUGAAAUGCGUAGAUAUCAGGAGGAACACCGGUGGCGAAGGCGGCUCUCUGGACGGUGACUGACGCUGAGACGCGAAAGCGUGGGGAGCAAAC
This 427-nucleotide ribosomal RNA is filed under the name uncultured bacterium. RNAcentral describes it as "bacterial SSU rRNA". It matches the Rfam family "Bacterial small subunit ribosomal RNA", at positions 355 to 773 of the family's 1533-position model. The record is from RNAcentral.